GACGCUUCAGCCAGGAAGUAGGGCCCGAGAGGCCCCGGUGUCGAGGCCACGGGGUCGGGCGGGGGAAGCAGGCUGGUGGGCAGGAGAUGGCCUGGGCCUCAGCACAGUGGAAGACCCUGGACCCUCUGGGCUUCCACGCCGUCAGACCGUCUUGGGCUUCCGGCCUCGGGAGGUAUGAGAGAUAGCUGUGUCUGACCCUCUGCGACCGCAGGGCGGACUCCACCCCCGAUUGCCGGGAACCCCCGGAACCUUCUCCUCUGAUACCGGGCAGAGCCCACGGAGCGCCCUGGCAGGUGGCGGUGCCGGCCCAAGGCCCAAGCAGGCAGGGGACUUGCUCGGAUGGCUGCUCGUGCUGUGAAUCACAACUUCAGGUUCUCUGCGAAACUGAGCAGAGAGCACAGUCCCCGCGGAGCCCUGCCUGGCCGCGGCCCCCAUCCCGGCCUCCGCAGGGGCCUUCAUUAGGAUCCCUGAGCCAUCCUGAUGCAGAGUCCCCAGUCCUCGGCCGCCCGGGGCCCCUGGGGCCCAUCACAGGAGGCAGGGAGGACUGGGAGCAGCCAGAGGACUGGGUGGGGAGGAGGCUCCAGAGGGUGGGUGGCCCAGCAGAGGGUCAGCAGGUCCCAAGGGCCCUCCCUCCCAUCCCAGCCUCCUGCCAAGUCCAGGCAGAGGCCAGGAAGUAGACAGUGCCACACCGGGGGAAGGCGAGGCCCUGCGUCCCAGGACUCCCGGGUUGGGAGAAGCCACCGUGGGAGGCACAGCCCCUGUUGCCACUGCCCUGUCGCCGAGAUGGGCCGCCUGUGAGCAGGCCACGAGGACCUUCACGCCUGUCCCCGCUCUUCACCCCGGAACCCACGGAGCGUGACCCCGACAGGAGCCCCUCGACCACUCCCCGAGCCGUUGGCAUGGCCCUCUGACGCCUGCCCUGCCCCGGAGAAGCGGAGCUGGGUCCAGGCUCUGUGGGCGGCUGCGGGGCCAGCCUGGGCAGCACCAUCAGGGCCAUCGUGCAGCCAGGCCACCAGGAAGCCCUGGGACAAGAUCUCCACCUUCCUCCCAUUGUCACCAUCGGAGUGUUCCAGUGCGGUGACGCCAUCCGGCGUGUCACGGAUGCUCCUCCUUGGCGUGGCCGGGCCAGGGCCACCCCCACGAAGGAGGCGAGGGGCACAGGGCCCUGCCGCCAGCCCCGUGGCUACCCAGUACCCAGGGAGCCGUGGCCACGGCCGGCCCUCGGACCACCCGGCACUUUCUGAGGCUCUUUGGGGAGCUGGCCCCGCCAUGGUGAUGGCCCCUCAAAGUACCUCCAGCCCCCGGUGGAGGGACAAGGAGCCCCAAACCCUGGGUUCCAGCACCCGCCAACACGGUGGCCCUCAACAAGUGGGGUCCACUCUGAGCACCGCGACCAUGAGACCCCUGAGCCUGGGCAUCAGCAAGAGCUGAUCAAGAGACGGUCGUGGACAAACCCCGUGCCUGGGAGAGUGGCCAGUGUCCCCCCUGAGCAGGAAG
Molecule: long non-coding RNA, 1497 nt
Filed under: Marmota monax (woodchuck)
Lineage: Eukaryota; Metazoa; Chordata; Mammalia; Rodentia; Sciuridae
Source: RNAcentral